RNAcentral lists this ribosomal RNA (253 nucleotides) under uncultured bacterium. Its description in RNAcentral is "partial 16S ribosomal RNA". It matches the Rfam family "Bacterial small subunit ribosomal RNA", at positions 524 to 776 of the family's 1533-position model. The record is from RNAcentral.
UACGUAGGGGGCGAGCGUUGUCCGGAUUUAUUGGGCGUAAAGAGCUCGUAGGCGGCUUGUCGCGUCGACUGUGAAAUCCCGCGGCUCAACCGCGGGUCUGCAGUCGAUACGGGCAGGCUAGAGUUCGGUAGGGGAGACUGGAAUUCCUGGUGUAGCGGUGAAAUGCGCAGAUAUCAGGAGGAACACCGAUGGCGAAGGCAGGUCUCUGGGCCGAUACUGACGCUGAGGAGCGAAGGCGUGGGGAGCGAACAGG